AUCUCUUCCCAUUUUCUCUUCCAAUUCCAAUUUUUCGUCCCUCAUGGCCCGUGUCGCGAUCGCCGUCGUUUUCGUAGCCGCCGUCAUCCUCGCCCUCUCCGCCACCUCCGUGACGGCGCGUCCUUGCAGGACCUUCAUAAUCUCCUCCUACUCCUUCCGCAACCCUAACUCCAACACCUUCGCCACCAUCACCGAGAUCCGAUCCUUCACUCCUAUCUUCGUCACCGACAAACGUUCUUCCUACGACGUUUUCUUCCCCCACGCGCUCCCACAGCAGGAGCGCGUCAACCCACGCGCCCCUCUAGGGUUUGCCUCCGCGUACGACUUCUCCUCCCUCCGCGACCGCACCAAGGACAUCCUUAGCGUCGCCCUCGCGCUUCUCUUCGGUGUAGGCUGCGGAGCCCUCACCGCCGCUACCAUGUACCUCGUCUGGUCUGUUUUCCCUAUACGCCACCACGCUGCGGCCUACGACGACUUCUCCUCAGACGAAGAGAUCGAGAGCCCCAAAAAGUUAGGAUACGUCAAGAUUCCGGCCCCGGACACCGUUGCCGCCGCUCAAACGCCUGCCAAAGGCUCGGUAUAAAAACCCCGAAUGCUGAGAUUGGGGAUAUCUCUUGGUAACCGUGUGGUUGAUGUUUGUUAAUAAUUAUAGGUGAAUUGAACAGAGAAAGUGUCGAAUGGUGCGAACUUUGGCCAUGUAUUUGUGCCUGCUUAUUCUAUGUUACAUGUUUACUAUUGAAUUUGGUGUAUUUGCGUUGUUUUAUUUCUAACUGGCGAACCAUGGUGUUUUUGGCGUUAAUCAUUGCCUUGGAUAUGGAACUAGUCGUCAUAUAUAGUAGCAUUUAUGUAUUUACUCACGGGUUUU
This 865-nucleotide long non-coding RNA is filed under the name Vigna radiata. RNAcentral describes it as "long non-coding RNA (VRAD_LNC010580)". Lineage: Eukaryota; Viridiplantae; Streptophyta; Magnoliopsida; Fabales; Fabaceae. The record is from RNAcentral.